Molecule: ribosomal RNA, 492 nt
Filed under: uncultured bacterium
Lineage: Bacteria
Description: partial 16S ribosomal RNA
Rfam family: Bacterial small subunit ribosomal RNA
Source: RNAcentral
AAUGAACGUUGGCGGCGUGGAUUAGGCAUGCAAGUCGAGCGAGAACCCGCAGGGGGGACAGCGGCAAACGGGGUAGGAAUGAUUGGUGACGUACCCUCGGGACGGGGAUAGCCACGGGAAACUGUGGGUAAUACCCGAUAACCUCCCGGGUUUGAAGACCUGGGUGCAAAGGUGUGAUUCCACCGGAGGAGCGGCCAAUCUGGUAUUAGCUAGUUGGUAGGGUAACGGCCUACCAAGGCUACGAUGCCUAGGGGGUGUGAGAGCAUGGCCCCCACCACUGGGACUGAGAUACUGCCCAGACACCUACGGGUGGCUGCAGUCGAGAAUCUUCGGCAAUGGGCGAAAGCCUGACCGAGCGACGCCGCGUGCGGGAUGAAGGCCUUCGGGUUGUAAACCGCUGUCAGAGGGGAUGAAGUUCUAGGAGGUUCUCCUUCUAGAUUGACAGAGCCUCAGAGGAAGCACGGGCUAAGUAUGUGCCAGCAGCCGCAGUAA